Molecule: long non-coding RNA, 1363 nt
Organism: Cyprinus carpio carpio
Lineage: Eukaryota; Metazoa; Chordata; Actinopteri; Cypriniformes; Cyprinidae
Source: Ensembl
AUUCAUCGUCAAGUGCGCUCGUUCCUGUUUGUGUCGUCAAUCUGGCAACCUGCGUGUGUGCCAAGUCUGAGGAGGAGGGGCCGGGUGAAAAACCCUCUCCAAUAUUUUGAAUUUGGACUGUAAUACCUAGUUCAACCACUCAGCGUCAAUCCUACAUACAGCACCUUUAAUUAUCCUCACAGCGCGUCUUGCGGUGAUGAACUAUUAAAUAAUUGCGGGGGCAAUAAUUUCAUGUAACUUAAUAAUAAAAUAAACCUAAUAAUCAGGCCUAAUAAUAAUAAGAAGAAUGUAACAGGCCUACAUUAAUUGGAAAUUAAAUCCUCUUAAUAUUGCCAAUUUUUUAUGCUUUUGACAAUAUCUCUAGCUAUCGUCAAUGCAACUCAGCACGGGAGGUUAAUUAUAUAUAUAUAUAUAUAUUUAAAUUUACCUUAUUCGAAGCUACUGUAUAUAUAUAUAUAUAAAAACAAGGUGGCUGAAUUUGCAUGCUUUUUAGAUAUCUAAGGCUUAUAGGUGUUCAUUACUUUCACUCAAUUUAAUUCGUUUUUUAGCACCCCCUCUGAACUGUUAAGCCCCUCUUAGCACCCCCAACAAAAAAGUCCUGGAGCCACCACUGCAGCCAAGCAUUCACAUAAUGUAUCUCAUUACCUUGUACUUCAGUUAUAUCUGAUCAAAUGCACAUUAUUAUUCUUUUGCUUGGGUUGAACACAUAAUUUUUUGCUUGGGUACAGCAGCUAAUUUUUCUCUAUUUGUGUCUCUGUUUCUGCCACGGGAUUGACAUCCUGAGGUAACUAUGAAUUACACAAGCUUCAGUCUGGAUCCAGCCCUUACCAAGACCUGAGGUGACCGAACACCUGAGAAGAGAUGAUGCAAACCCCUCAGAGAUCUCUGAGUUAAACGCUAAAUUGAAGCUGUGAUUUACGGAGGACACGUUGUCCCUGAAGAUUCAUGGCUUGUAUAAAACCCUCUCACGCAGCAGCUCCCGAGAGCCACGUAAAACAGACUAUUGGAGCUUUCAUGGCCUCCCCACUUCGUCUCACACAUACGGGUCAUUUCAUGUAGCGACACUGAGGUCGAGAGUUUGCUUUUAAAGAAAGCAAAAGCUGUCAAACGACAAUGGAUUAUCGAGGAGGCAGAUACGGUGGAAAAAACAACAUUAAGAGUGAUAAUUCAGGCUAAGAGGGAAUUACAUAACAUCUUAGACGUUUGCGGAUGGGAGGGGCUUCAGAAUCCCAUCUGUGCAGAAUUCAUCAGUGCAGAUGGGAAGCUGCCAGCAGCUCUGGAAGCACCAUCGGGACGGUGUGAAGAAGGCCACACAGUCACAGCCACAGCUGGAAAUGUGUUGAGCAUCUAAGCACGUUUAUAU